UGUGGAUAAAUAAGGUGUUCAGCCAUCUGUGGUUUCUGCACCUUUACUGCUGCAUUUCAAGUGAAAGAGUUAACCUGACAACACCAACAGUUAAAAUGAAGGAAGUGAACAACACUUCAUUUCACAGCAUGGAGCACCCUUAAGAACUGCCAUUCAAAGAAAAAUCACGAAGCACUCCUUGCCCCUCAGCCCUGCUGCUCCAAUCUCCACCCACACUCCACCCUGUCUCUAAGAUGCUGGUUUGUAGCAGUGCUCUCUGCACUUUUCUGAAGGCCUUUCACCUUUGUGAACCAGUCCUGGUGUGUCCCAGACCUAAGGCAGGGAGGGAUCUGCUGAACAUCCACCUGGGAUGUGGCUAACAUGAAGCAAAACAGAGAUUUUUCUGUCAUCAUUUCUCUCCUUCCCUGUCUCUAUUAACUGUGUUGCUCAGAAGACCUUGGAUAUUUCCCAUGCACUAAGCUGAGCUCCUCUCCCUUCAGAGUUAAUGUAGGCAAAAAGACAGACCUCAGUGUUUAAUGUCUCUCUUCCAUCAUCACUACCCAGAGGUUUUUAGGGGGAUAUCUCACACCUACCUGCUUAGCGCUAGCACCCUUCUGCACCCUGCUCCUUGUCAGGGGACCACAGCAUCCUCUGCUAUCAUUAAUAGGUCCUCAUGUAUUCUCCACAGGCUCAUAAAAUUCUUGCUUAUCAGCCAAAUUUCAUAAUUUCACAUGAAAUAUGGCCAGUAGCCCCAAGUUCAGGCUGGCUGCCAGUCAUUUUGGCUCAGCCAAAACAUGGUAACUGUCUUUUAUGGUGAAAUGCAACAGAAUAUUUUUCUUGGUGUGCACACAUGAGCUAUCUCCUACAUGAUUUAAUGUUAUUCAUAUUAAAAAAACAUCUUACAAAAAAUAUUUACAAGCAUCUGUCAUUGUUGCAUUUCGAUUCUUUUGUAAGUAUAUUCAGCUUGUGCUCUCUUUAUAACCCAUAUAAACAGCAAGCCUGGCUUCACUGGCAUUUCUCAUCAAAAUAUGGAGCUUGCUGGAGCCCUCUGGAGACAGGAGCUCCACAUUCUGUCCAUAAGAAUGAGCAAAAAAUUCCCUACAGAGGUCAGAGGCAGCAGAAUGGGUUUCUCGAGGUGAUUAUGGGUGACUGACACAUCAGUCCUGCCCGCACUGUUCCAGUAAAAAGUUGGAGGAAGGAUACAACCGACAAAUUACAUAAAGCUCACCAUGGCGUUACUCAUGCUACUGCACAGUUCAUCCAUAUCAUUGAGUUUUCUGCUGUCUCAUAUCCAUGAACAUACCUACACCUUCAGGUAUUCCCAGCUGCUACACAGACAUAUUUCAGUAUUCUAUCUUGAAGUGGAGGAUGUUAAAAAACAGGGUUUCUAGCUCAUGUAAACUUUCUUCCCUUCGUACCCACAAUCCCUAUUGUUCCAAUGUGCUUUCACAACCUUUUGCACAAAUUGACAAUCUGAAGGCCUGAAAGGAGCAUCUGUCUGUUGAGAGCCAAAAAUUCAUGAGCUUUUGGCCUCUUAAGCUCAAAUAGAGACUUUGCAAACUCUGGUGCAGUUCUGCAGGAACUGCUUGGAAUUCAGAACACAAUGAGCCUGAGGUGUGUUAGAUACAGUACUUCAAAUAAAUCACUGUCUUUUGAUUAAAAAAAAAAAAAAAAAAAAAA
Non-coding RNA from Anas platyrhynchos (mallard), 1659 nucleotides. Lineage: Eukaryota; Metazoa; Chordata; Aves; Anseriformes; Anatidae. The record is from RefSeq and is a predicted model, not a curated record.